AUACGAAGGUCCCAAGCGUUAUUCGGAAUCACUGGGCGUAAAGAGUACGUAGGCGGUUUGGUAAGUCAGGUGUGAAAUCCCGGAGCUCAACUCCGGAACUGCAUCCGAUACUGCCAGACUUGAGUAAUGGAGAGGCAGGUGGAAUUCUCGGUGUAGCAGUGAAAUGCGUGGAUAUCGAGAGGAAGACCAAUGGCGAAGGCAGCCUGCUGGACAUUUACUGACGCCGAGAUACGAAGGCUAGGGGAGCGAAAGGGAUUAGAUACCCCGGUAGUCC
This 274-nucleotide ribosomal RNA is filed under the name uncultured bacterium. RNAcentral describes it as "partial 16S ribosomal RNA". It matches the Rfam family "Bacterial small subunit ribosomal RNA", at positions 523 to 796 of the family's 1533-position model. The record is from RNAcentral.